GACAGAGGUGCCAAGCGUUAGGCGGAAUCACUGGGCUUAAAGCGUGUGUAGGUGGAUGCCUAAGUGCCUUGUGAAAUCCCACGGCUCAACCGUGGAAUUGCUGGGCAUACUGGGUGUCUUGAGCCAUCCAGGGGUCGCUGGAACAAACGGUGGAGCGGUGAAAUGCGUAGAUAUCGUUUGGAACGCCAAUGGUGAAAACAGGCGACUGGGGAUGAGCUGACACUGAGACACGAAAGCUAGGGGAGCAAACAGG
RNAcentral lists this ribosomal RNA (253 nucleotides) under uncultured bacterium. Its description in RNAcentral is "partial 16S ribosomal RNA". It matches the Rfam family "Bacterial small subunit ribosomal RNA", at positions 524 to 776 of the family's 1533-position model. The record is from RNAcentral.